CGAUAUCAAUCUGCAAAUUCAUUACUCUUUAAAUUACAUUACAAUUUACAAUAACAUGCCAUCCACUCUUCAUAAACAUUCAAAGCAAUGCAAAAAAUCGUACAAUCAAAAACCCAUUAUCAACACGACAAGUCCAAAGUGUUUCGUUUCCACAAAACCAUAAUACAUAAUUGUGCCCCACUGGCUAUGCAUUACAUUCCGAUAUUCACAUUCACCUUUAAUAAGCCGGUACAACCAUUGGAUACGACGAUGUUAUAAGCUCCCAGUAUAAAGACAACGGUCACCUGAUUUCACUACAGCAGCAGAAUGAGAGCAAUUCUAUGUGGGUUCAAGGGCUUGGUUCGCGGACAACGUCAGUUCCUCCCAGCGUGCAUUACAUAGUGGAUUUUGGCAAAAGUCGGCAGCUAUCACAACAUUUUGCUGCACCUCAUGAUAUCCUACCAUUCUUAGAGUGGAAUUUCUAUGGAACAUCAGCAGCAGCUCCCAUGUUUUAGCACAACUUACCUGACAAUCAAAAAGGGGUUCAACAUUAGCUACAGCAAUAACAGAACAAACACCGGGAAAUUCGUUAAUGGUAACCUAAUCUGACUAACAAAGCCAAUUAAUAAUCCAAUUUCCAACACCAACUUCAUCAGAUUCACAUUCAACUAAUCACAAUUAAAUCAUGCCAUAAUUCAUUCACUAAACCAUCAUUGAUAAUAGCUUACAAUACAUGCAUAAGUAGCCAAUGCAAAGCUAAUAACCAACCCUAUUUUGAAGCUCAUGGGAAUUCCACAUUCAAUACAAACUACCUAUUUCCAUCUAGUCAAGCAUCCAUACAUCACUGUAAUACAAGCCUUAUGCGUUUUAACUUCUUAGAAUCAAAUGUGCAUAAUUGUUUUCUAAUAGCUCUAACUGAACCUAGUUUCAUAUCAUUAACAUAACUUGUAAUUAUUAGCAUUAACAGUUUCACAUCUAUUUAACAAAAAUAAUCCAUAUUUGAUUGGUUAGAGCAUGACGGUUUCGGUUAUCUUGAUUAACACUAAGGGAUGGAUGUAACUUCAUUUCAUAAAUCAAGUUAAGCAAAUUAUGGCUAACAAGAAAACUUGACAGGAAGUAUCCAAAUUGUUUGAACCCACCAGCAUGCUGCUAAUACUCCAAUCCUGCAACAAACAAUUUUUGAGUUCUAUAAGCCAACAGGAUAAACCACACUGCAAACUGAAAAAACUAACAUUUUAACUACAGAACUUCAUAAAGCCAGUAAUAGCUAACUGAUUUCCUCAUGAAAAUCUAACAGAAACACUAACAACAGAACUUAAUCCUACAAACUGAAAAAACUAACAGAAAUACCAACAGAACUUCACAAAGCUAGUAAUAGCUAACUGAUUUAUAAUGAAGAACUGCCCGAUUCGGUUACACUUCUCUUCUAUAUAAAUCACUCAUUGCCAUUCUCUGAGCAUUUUUUGAUCAUUCUCUUCCAAUCUUCUUCUUCUUCACACCAAUCUUCAACAUUCGAUUUUCUUCACUCUUGCAAGCAGUUCUUCAUUCUCGAUCUCAAACCCCCUGCACAUCAAACACACGCACGGAAUGCAUCAAUCACGCAAAUAGAAAUACACCAAAUCGAAAUCCAAAAGAAGUUUCUGAAGACAUAGCAAAUACGCAUUGAUUCACAAUGCACAUCGCAGUGAAGGAGGAGAGUUCGCAGACGAGGAAAGAAAUGGCGCAUAUGUGAACAUACAACAAUAAUGAGCUGAAACUCCAUAGCCAAAGGAAUAGAAAAGCUUGGAGAAAAGUUGUAUGUGAUCAAAGAUGAAAAAGUGAUUCUCAAUCUCACUUGUUACAAUAUAGAGGACAACUAAUAUAGCUAAACGAAUUAGUUAGAUCCUAACUAAUCUUCUCAACAACUUCUAACUAACUUCUAAAGUUAGUUAUUACAAAGAAAAAACAGAAUUUACUGUUUUAUUAUUUUCAUCAUCAUUUACAGCCCCCCUCAAGCUGGAAUGAUAUCAAUCAUUCCAAGCUUGGAUUGCAGAAUAUUGAAAGGACCAGGUUGAAGAGACUUGGUAAAGAUAUCCGCAACCUGCUCCUUAGAAGUAACCGGCAUAAGAUGAACAACUCCAGCUAAAACUUUCUCACGUACAACAUGACAGUCAAUCUCUAUGUGUUUGGUGCGCUCAUGAAACACAGGAUUGGCACGCGAUAUGCAUGGCAGAUUUGUUAUCACAGUAAAGGAUGAUAGGUACUGAGUGAUUGAUGUGAAAAUCAUGGAGAAGAUUGAGAAGCCAAACCCCUUCACAAGUAGCUUGAGCAAGGGCACGAUACUCAGCUUCAGAUGAAGAUCUGGAAAUGACAGGCUGCUUCUUGCUCUUCCAGCUAAUGAGUGAAGUGCCAAGAAAAUAACAAAACCAGAAGUGGAUCUUCGUGUAUCAGGACAAGCCCCCCAAUCGGAAUCUGAAAAACCUUUGAGACAUAAAGAUGUAUUAGAUUGGAAAAUGAGUCCUUGGCCUGGACUGUUUUUGAGGUACUCAAAACAUGUAGACCAGCUAACAUAUGUUUAUCUCUGGAGCAGCAAAGAAUUGACUUAGUUUGCUGACAGCAUAUGAAAUUUCAGGUUGGGUAUGUGUGAGAUACAAUAAACGACCAAUAAACCUUCUGUAGGGAGUAGGAUCAGAGAGAGUGUGCCGUAUGUUUUGUGGAGUUGAAGAUGAGGUUGCAUAGGGGUGGAACACAGUUGGCACCAAAGAAGACCAGCAUCAGAAAUCAAAUCAAGAGUGUAUUUUCUUUGACAUAAAGAAAAAUACCAUGUGUGCUGCGAGCCACUUCAAAGCCUAGGAAGUAUUUGAGAAUUCCCAAGUCUUUGAUACUGAAUUUAGCAUCCAAACAAGUUUUGAUUUGCAAAAUUUCAUGAAGAUCAGUGCCUCCAACUACUAGAUCAUCAACAUAAACCAGAAUCAUAGUGAAACUGAGAGGAAGUCUUAGUGAAAAGGGAAUAAUCUGCUUUGGAUUGGAUAUAACCUGAUGUAAUAAGGGUGUCAGUGAGUUUUGUAUUCCAUUGUUUGCUGGUCUGCUUCAGACCAUAAAGAGAUCUUUGCAAUUUGCAACAAGAUUUGGUGUAGACAAAAUGAGACCAGGUGGAGGCUUCAUGUAAACUUCCUCAUUAAGAUCACCAUGGAGGAAGGUUGUGUUAACAUCAAGUUGGAACAGGGGCCAAUUGUGAACAGCAGCAACAGCUAAGCAAACUCUAACAGUGGUCAUUUAACAACUGGACUGAAAGUGUCAGUAUAAUCUAAUCCUUCAUUUGAGUAACCCCUUGCUGCAACAAGUCGUGCCUUGUAUCUCUCAAUGGUACCAAUCAGCAUGCAUUUUUACUUUUAAAAACCACCUGCAGCCAAUGGCUUUUUCUGUUUGAAGGUAAGGGCACAAGAUCCCAUGUUUUAGUUUUAACCAGAGCCUGCAAUUCAGUAUUGAUAGCAGUUCUCCAAUUCUCAUCACAAAUAGCAUGCCUCAUAAGAUGUAGGUUCAGGAUUGGCAGACAAGUUUAACAUGUAAUGUUUAUGAGGAGAUGAAAAAGAAUCGUAGGAAAUAGCCAGAUGAAAUAGGAUACUUACAGGUGGAUGAAGAUGAAGCCACAGCUGAGUCAGGAUGGUGAAGCAGAUUACAAUGAUAAUCUUUUAGGUAAUUAGGAGGAUGAACUUGUCUAUGUGAUCUUCUUACAGGUAUGGGCUCACAGUUACCAGAAUGAAGAUGAUUGGUUUCAUUGGUAGGAGAAUGUGUAGGAUGGUUGGUUUCAUUGGAAUUGGAAUCUGCAGAAUGAGAAUUAUACUCAGUAUGACCAUUGUCAACUGAAUGAUUAAAAUGUAGGAUUGGGAACUGGAUUAGGCAGAACACUCAUCAAAACAAAUCAUUCAGAUGUGUAUUAGUGUGUGCAGAAGAUGAAGGCAUGGAAGGAUUUAUGUUUAUAUGGAAAGUGAGCUAAAAAAAAACAACAUCUCUAGAAUAAACAGUUCCUUAUUAUGCAGAUCAACCAAAAGGUGUCCUUUCACACCAGGUUUAUGACCUAGAUUAAAUGCACUUUCUAGAUCUUGAAUCUAAUUUCUUUCUAUUGGAUUUUAGAGUGGUUUGCAUAGCACAAAGAACCAAAACUUUCAGGUUGGUCAUGUCGGGUAAAGUGUUGUAGCAGAAUUUGGUAGGGUGACUUUGUGUUUUAAGAAAAGUGUGGGAAGUCUAUUUAUGAUAUGCACAGCAUAACUCACUGCAUGAGCCCAAAUAAGGGAGGCAAAUGAGCUUGGAAUAAAAAAGCUCUAGUGAUGCCCAAGAUAUGUUGAUGUUUUCAACAAUACCAUUUUGUUGAGGUGUAGCACACAAGAGUUUGGUGAAUGAUACCGGAUUGAUUGUAAAAAAUCAGGCAUCAAAAACUCAUUGCCAUUAUUUGAUCUAAUGCACUUGACAUGACAGUUGAAUUGAGUUUUAACCAAUUCUACAAAAAGACCUUGACAUGAGAAGUGGUUUCAGAUUUUAGUCUCAUAAGAUACAGCCAUGUAAUCUGCUCAUCAUCAACUAUAGUUAAAAAAUACCUAUAGGCCCAUCAUGGAUGGUAUGGCCAAUGGACCCAAAUAUCCAUAAUGUAAUAUGGUCAAAGUGAAUGUGAGAAGCAUGAGAACUAGGAGAAAAGGCAGUCUUUUUGUUUUGCAUAAAAAACAUAACAUCACAAGGCAAUUGAUAUUGACAGGUGAUGAAAGGAAAUCUUUAUUGAGUUCAAUCAAUUUGGAAUUAGAAGCAUGUCCUAAUCUGAUAUGCCAUAGGGCUACAUUCAGGAUAAUGACUUAUUUGAAUUAUUAACAGAAGAAUUGGUACAGAUGUAUGGGAGGUGUUUUAGGUAAUGUAACUGAAGGAGAGGUCAAGAAAUAUAAUCACCAUGUAACUCAGUUGUGCCAAUCAUCUUCAUAGAAAAGAAAACUUGUCCUGUAGCAGACAUGAAUAUGAUCAAAAACAAGUUGACAGUUGAGUAAUUGGGUUAAUUUUGUGACAGAAAUGAGAUAAAGGCAAUUGGUAAAUAAAGAACAUCAAGUAAUGUAAAAGUUGCUGUUAAACUGAAUAGUGCCUGAAAAAUUAGUGUAACAAGACUGCCAUUUGGGAGUUUGAGGGUAAUGGGCUUAAUUUGCUUAAGACACUGAAAAUAUUCACGAGUAAAAACAAACAGUGAUUAGUGGCUCUGUAUCUAAAAUGAAUGAUGCAGCAUGAAAAUGAAUUUGGGAAGCGUACAAAUAGUACCUGAUUCAAGGUUAU
This 5265-nucleotide long non-coding RNA is filed under the name Lathyrus oleraceus (garden pea). RNAcentral's name for it is "Pisum sativum (pea) long non-coding RNA (PSAT_LNC019543)". The record is from RNAcentral. Lineage: Eukaryota; Viridiplantae; Streptophyta; Magnoliopsida; Fabales; Fabaceae.